This 481-nucleotide ribosomal RNA is filed under the name Streptococcus mitis. RNAcentral describes it as "bacterial SSU rRNA". It matches the Rfam family "Bacterial small subunit ribosomal RNA", at positions 28 to 494 of the family's 1533-position model. The record is from RNAcentral. Lineage: Bacteria; Bacillati; Bacillota; Bacilli; Lactobacillales; Streptococcaceae.
GACGAACGCUGGCGGCGUGCCUAAUACAUGCAAGUAGAACGCUGAAGGAGGAGCUUGCUUCUCUGGAUGAGUUGCGAACGGGUGAGUAACGCGUAGGUAACCUGCCUGGUAGCGGGGGAUAACUAUUGGAAACGAUAGCUAAUACCGCAUAAGAGUAGAUGUUGCAUGACAUUUGCUUAAAAGGUGCAAAUGCAUCACUACCAGAUGGACCUGCGUUGUAUUAGCUAGUCGGUGAGGUAACGGCUCACCAAGGCAACGAUACAUAGCCGACCUGAGAGGGUGAUCGGCCACACUGGGACUGAGACACGGCCCAGACUCCUACGGGAGGCAGCAGUAGGGAAUCUUCGGCAAUGGACGGAAGUCUGACCGAGCAACGCCGCGUGAGUGAAGAAGGUUUUCGGAUCGUAAAGCUCUGUUGUAAGAGAAGAACGAGUGUGAGAGUGGAAAGUUCACACUGUGACCGUAUCUACCAGAAAGCGCG